Molecule: long non-coding RNA, 1149 nt
Filed under: Marmota monax (woodchuck)
Lineage: Eukaryota; Metazoa; Chordata; Mammalia; Rodentia; Sciuridae
Source: RNAcentral
CUUUUCUAAUCAUAGAACAAAAUAUGUUACAUAAAAGGAUCGGAACGAUUAUUCAGUACUCAAUUAGAGGGAGGUGAAUAGGUCUCUAACAUGCUGUUUUAUCAAAAGAGCAGACUGGUGUUUGCAUGACUGUUGUUUCAUUACAGACCCUGUCAUUAAUUCCAUGUGUCAAUACUGCCCUGUAGUACACAGAGCAGACAAGAAAGAAGAGCCCUUGAAAACAAGGGAAUGAUUUUUGAGUCGUUAUCAAGCUAAGUGGCAAGCGGGAAGCUGAAACUCGUAUAGGUAAAUUCGAAGGGACUCUUGGGAGAUCUGCAAGUGGGAAACAAGAAUGCAUUUUACCAACUGCUUAAUUAUGUCCUGUUUUUCAGCAAGUACACUUGAAUUGAAUGCUUUGUUUGUAUUGCACAAAAACGUGCCGUGGGCAAGAGUAUUCUCUUGCUUCCAGGUCAAGUAAGGUGUUCUAUACACACACACUUCUGACCUAUUCUGUAAUGUGCAAUUGGGUUUGUUAGUAUCUGAGCCCCAAUUCUGCACUCUCAUUUCUGGGGGAAAGAGUCACAUAGGAACCAGAGCCCUAAAAAGUGGGACCUUCUCUAAGGUCCUGAGAAGUCAUGUAAGCCCAGGCAUUCCAGAGUGCCAUACCUACAGGAAAAUGGUGGCUCAGGAAACUGUUAACAUAUAUCUGGGGAAAAAAACAGCCAGAGAAUUUUAAGUAUGUAUAAAUCCCAUCAUCUCCCACCCCUAGAUCAUUAAGAAAUUUUUUUUGGUUUCCAUUAGCAGUUCCAAGGGUUAGGCUGGGGCAAAAUAGGGUUUCCUUUUUUGGACGUGCUUUACCUGUGUCCUCUUGCCUGGCCAAGCCCUUAUAGAUUAUGGUUCCUUAUCGUUUAGUAAGAUCAAAUUUCUAAAUGAUGUUUCGUUCCAGUUGAACAUUCUUGGAGGCUUAUCUCUUCCCUGGCCAGAUGCCUGAUCAGAUGAGAAGCCCGCCAUGAUACUGUCACAGUGCCUAGAAUGGGCUCUUUAUCCAGUAGACAUCACUGUACUUUUUGAUGAUAACGAGGGCAGUCUUAACUUAUGUUAAGGCCUGUGUAUAGCAUUGAAGGUAAGUAUGAAGGAGUUGUUGCUAUGUGAAUAUCUUAAUCCUGAUAC